This 253-nucleotide ribosomal RNA is filed under the name uncultured bacterium. Its description in RNAcentral is "partial 16S ribosomal RNA". It matches the Rfam family "Bacterial small subunit ribosomal RNA", at positions 524 to 776 of the family's 1533-position model. The record is from RNAcentral.
UACGAAGGGGGCUAGCGUUGCUCGGAAUCAUUGGGCGUAAAGCGCACGUAGGCGGAUUGCUAAGUCAGGGGUGAAAUCCUGGAGCUCAACUCCAGAACUGCCUUUGAUACUGGCGAUCUUGAGUCCGGGAGAGGUGAGUGGAACUGCGAGUGUAGAGGUGAAAUUCGUAGAUAUUCGCAAGAACACCAGUGGCGAAGGCGGCUCACUGGCCCGGUACUGACGCUGAGGCACGAAAGCGUGGGGAGCAAACAGG